This 496-nucleotide ribosomal RNA is filed under the name uncultured bacterium. RNAcentral describes it as "partial 16S ribosomal RNA". It matches the Rfam family "Bacterial small subunit ribosomal RNA", at positions 29 to 507 of the family's 1533-position model. The record is from RNAcentral.
AUGAACGCUGGCGGCGUGCCUAAUACAUGCAAGUCGAGCGAACGGACGAGAAGCUUGCUUUUCUGAUGUUAGCGGCGGACGGGUGAGUAACACGUGGAUAACCUACCUAUAAGACUGGGAUAACUUCGGGAAACCGGAGCUAAUACCGGAUAAUAUUUUGAACCGCAUGGUUCAAAAGUGAAAGACGGUCUUGCUGUCACUUAUAGAUGGAUCCGCGCUGCAUUAGCUAGUUGGUAAGGUAACGGCUUACCAAGGCAACGAUGCAUAGCCGACCUGAGAGGGUGAUCGGCCACACUGGAACUGAGACACGGUCCAGACUCCUACGGGAGGCAGCAGUAGGGAAUCUUCCGCAAUGGGCGAAAGCCUGACGGAGCAACGCCGCGUGAGUGAUGAAGGUCCUCGGAUCGUAAAACUCUGUUAUUAGGGAAGAACAUAUGUGUAAGUAACUGUGCACAUCUUGACGGUACCUAAUCAGAAAGCCACGGCUAACUACGUG